UACGUAGGGUGCGAGCGUUAAUCGGAAUUACUGGGCGUAAAGCGUGCGCAGGCGGCGCGUUAAGACAGGUGUGAAAGCCCCGAGCUUAACUUGGGAAUUGCGCUUGUGACUGGCGUGCUGGAGUGUGGCAGAGGGAGGUGGAAUUCCACGUGUAGCAGUGAAAUGCGUAGAGAUCCGGAGGAACACCAGAGGCGAAGGCGGCCUACUGGGCCAGUACUGACGCUGAGCCGCGAAAGCCAGGGGAGCGAACGGG
This 253-nucleotide ribosomal RNA is filed under the name uncultured bacterium. Its description in RNAcentral is "partial 16S ribosomal RNA". It matches the Rfam family "Bacterial small subunit ribosomal RNA", at positions 524 to 776 of the family's 1533-position model. The record is from RNAcentral.